GUGUGGGAGUCCCAGUGGUAUAUGCACAGUAGAUACUAGCAAAAGUUAAAUUUUCUUGUAUUUUCUUAUCUUUCAACAUGCCAUACACAUAGAGAGGCAUCUCAUACUGCCUAGCCUAUACUCACUGUAGCAAGCACCCCCUCUCUAAUAGCCUGCAAUCUUUUAAACUGCAUGUCUCGAAAGUCCCUGCCAAUAAGCAUGUAAAGCAUAGAUUGUUUACAC
Non-coding RNA from Pelobates cultripes (western spadefoot toad), 222 nucleotides. NCBI's taxonomy places the organism in Eukaryota, Metazoa, Chordata, Amphibia, Anura, Pelobatidae. The record is from the annotation of a GenBank genome assembly.